Long non-coding RNA from Mugil cephalus (flathead mullet), 988 nucleotides. RefSeq lists it as uncharacterized. The record is from RefSeq and is a predicted model, not a curated record. The transcript is spliced from 3 exons. NCBI's taxonomy places the organism in Eukaryota, Metazoa, Chordata, Actinopteri, Mugiliformes, Mugilidae.
CUCGUGACCCUAAUACUCUUCCGUAGAAAGGCCACGCCCACCUCCUUCCCGUUUGUAACGGACAGAAUUUUAAACGCCGCCAUUUUCCGACGAUAGAAAAAGUGCGCUCAAGAAAAAGACCAGGCAAGACUCUGCUGAGUCGCUAAGAAGCAUCUUGACGUAUUUAAGUUUAAAGGUCAAGAGAAGAUCCGAGUUUCAGUUCAUCUAUAUUUUACAGUUUUAAUUUAAGUAAUACACUAAAAAACGAACUGUUAAAUAUAUAAUUUACACAGUUCAAGUCAAUAUAAUAGUUUUUACUGUAGUAAAUUGUGAGAAAGAAACAUCUUAGAAUAAGAGUUAAGAUAAAUGCAACACUGCUCCCUGUGGUCUUAAUGAAGAACUGCACCUUAAACAUGCUGGAAAAGCAAAUCGUAAUAUUUAUUUGUUAUUAAAUAUUUCUCUUUAUUAUUAUUAUUGAUUUAAAUGAUUUACAUCAGAACAUCUUUGAAUCAUCAUGAGAUUCCCUCAGUAAACCAGGCUGCAACUAAACAUGUAGAAUAACCCACUGAUUCCUUUCUAUAUGUCCAAAUCAAAUCAUAACAAGACUUUGUUUUAAUGUCUUCAAUUCAAAAAAAAGAAGAAGCAACAAUUCACAAUGAGACGUAAAACUUUAUUGAGAAACGUUAGAAGUCUCCAUAGAUUCAUCUUAGAAAAAAAGAUCUUAAAUAAACGCUCAUCUUAAACAACUAAUAAUAAAUAAAGGUAUCUUCUGAUGCUUUAUUAUUAUUUUUUUUUUAUACAGAAUAUAACAUCUGGCUAAUCCUUUAAUUUCUUAAGUUUUAGGAAAUUUCCUGGAAGAAAAAAAAAAGGCAAUUUGGUACAAACGAUGUGUUUAAAUCUUUUUAGUCACUUCAACAAGUCAAAUUACUCUGAUAAUAAGUUAAUUCUGAAUUAACGCUGAGUUUUUUUUUUUUUUCUGUUCUAGGAAACUUCCAGUUGCAGGAACCGA